RNAcentral lists this ribosomal RNA (1349 nucleotides) under Asteriomyzostomum hercules. RNAcentral's name for it is "SSU rRNA". It matches the Rfam family "Eukaryotic small subunit ribosomal RNA", at positions 431 to 1804 of the family's 1831-position model. Lineage: Eukaryota; Metazoa; Annelida; Myzostomida; Asteriomyzostomidae. The record is from RNAcentral.
GGCGCGCAAAUUACCCAAUCCCGACUCGGGGAGGUAGUGACAAGAAAUAACGAUACGAGACCUUUAUAGGUCUCGUAAUCGGAAUGAGAACACUUUAAAUCCGCUAACGAGUACCAAUUGGAGGGCAAGUCUGGUGCCAGCAGCCGCGGUAAUUCCAGCUCCAAUAGCGUAUAUUAAAGUUGUUGCAGUUAAAAAGCUCGUAGUUGGAUCACAGUGUGACAGUGCCGGUUCAUCUCAGGAUCGAUACUGGCAUUUGUUAACCUUUUUCGUGGUAGAACUUGGUAUUCUUUAUUGAGUGCCUCGUUUCAAUCGCGACGUUUACUUUGAACAAAUUGGAGUGCUUCAAGCAGGCUGUUCGCCUGAACAUUUAUGCAUGGAAUAAUGAAAUAAGACCUGGUUCUAUUUUCGUUGGUUUGGUAUGACCAGGAAAUGAUUGAGAGGGACAUACGGGGACAUUCGUAUUGCGGCGGGAGAGGUGAAAUUCUAAGAUCGCCGCAAGACGCACUAAUGCGAUGGCAACUGUCAAGCGUGUUUCCAUCAAUCAAGAGCGAAAGUCAGAGGUUCGAAGACGAUCAGAUACCGACCUAGUUCUGACUGUAAACCAUGUCGGCUGGCGAUCUGCUGAUUAACGAUCAAACAGACCAGUGGGCAGCCCUCGGGAAACCAAAGCUUUUGGAUUCCGGGGGAAGUAUGGUUGCAAAGCUGAAACUUAAAGGAAUUGACGGAAGGGCACCACCAGGAGUGGAGCCUGCGGCUUAAUUUGACUCAACACGUGGAAUCUCACCAGGUCCGGACAUAGUAAGGAUUGACAGAUUGAGAGCUCUUUCUCGAUUUUAUGGAUGGUGGUGCAUGGCCGUUCUUAGUUGGUGGAGCGAUUUGUCAGGUUAAUUCCGAUAACGAACGAGACUCUAGCCUGCAAAAUAGUAACCUCCCACGAGUGGGAGGGAUACUUCUUUGAGGGACAAUCGGCUUCUAGCCGAACGAGAAAGAGCAAUAACAGGUCUGUGAUGCCCUUAGAUGUUCUGGGCCGCACGCGCGCUACACUGAAGGAUAUAACGGGUGUCUCACUUUGCUCGGAAGAGUCGAGUAACCCUGUAACGUCCUUCGUGCCAGGGAUCGGGGAUUGCAAUUAUUUUCCGUGAACUAGGAAUUCCCAGUAAGCGCGAGUCAUCAGCUCGCGUUGAUUACGUCCCUGCCCUUUGUACACACCGCCCGUCGCUACUACCGAUCGGAUUGGUUGAUGAGGCGUUUGGACCGUGGAUCUUACCGGGAUUUUAUCCUGGUUUGUUCCGCGGAAAGAUCGCCGAAUCUACUUGUCUAGAGGAAGUAAAAGUCGUAACAAGGUUUCC